RNAcentral lists this non-coding RNA (754 nucleotides) under Mileewa rufivena. The record is from RNAcentral. Lineage: Eukaryota; Metazoa; Arthropoda; Insecta; Hemiptera; Cicadellidae.
AAGAGUUUGAUUCUUGCUCAAUUAUUAAUUAAUUAAAAGUUUUUAUAUGCCUAUGUUAAUAGAAUUUAUUUUUUAGCAGUAAUUAGUAUUUUAUUAUAUUUAAAAAUUUUAUUGAGCUAUUUAAUUUAAAUAGAUUAAUAUUGUGCCAGCAUUCGCGGUUAAACAAUAUAUUUAAUUUAAUAUUUUUGGUCAUGUAAUUUUAUUGUUAUUUAUUGAGAUUAAAUAUUAUGUAUUUAGGUGGAAUUUAUACAUAAGUAUAUUUUCGUGAUUUAAAUUUACGAAAUCUUUUUAUUAAACUAGGAUUAGAUACCCUAUUAUUUUAGAUUUAAAUUAUAUUUGAUUCAGAGUACUAAAAGUUAUGUUCUUUAAAAUUCAAAGAAUUUGGCGGUAAUUUAUUUCUUUUUAGAGGAACCUGUAAUUUAAUUGAUAAACCACGAUAUAUUUUACCUUAAUUUUAUUUGUAUAUCUCUAUGUAAGAAUAUUUUUAGAGAAUUAUAUUUUCUUUUUCUUUUAAAGAUUAAUAUUAGGUCAAGGUGCAGUUUUAUUAAGGUUAUUAUGGGUUACUUUAAUUGUUUUAUUAUUUUGGAUUUUUAGUAUACUUACACUAUUAUGAAAAUGGAUUUAAUAGUAAUUUUAAUAAAUUAAUUAUUUUGAAUUAAGCUCUAUAUUGUGUACAUAUCGCCCGUCACUCCUAAUUUAUAUUAGGAUAAGUCGUAACAUAGUAGUUGUACCGGAAGGUGUAGCUAGAAUGGUA